UACGUAGGGUGCAAGCGUUGUCCGGAAUUAUUGGGCGUAAAGAGCUCGUAGGCGGUUUGUCGCGUCUGCUGUGAAAACUCGGGGCUCAACUCCGAGCUUGCAGUGGGUACGGGCAGACUAGAGUGCGGUAGGGGAGACUGGAAUUCCUGGUGUAGCGGUGGAAUGCGCAGAUAUCAGGAGGAACACCCGUGGCGAAAGCGGCUCUCUGGGACGGUACUGACGCUGAGACGCGAAAGCGUGGGGAGCAAACAGG
This 253-nucleotide ribosomal RNA is filed under the name uncultured bacterium. Its description in RNAcentral is "partial 16S ribosomal RNA". It matches the Rfam family "Bacterial small subunit ribosomal RNA", at positions 524 to 776 of the family's 1533-position model. The record is from RNAcentral.